GCCUUUGUGGUGUAGUGGUCAGCACACUCGGCGCGUAUUCGAGAGGUCCGAGGUUCGAGUCCCGGCGAGGGCA
Molecule: transfer RNA, 73 nt
Filed under: Stegodyphus mimosarum
Lineage: Eukaryota; Metazoa; Arthropoda; Arachnida; Araneae; Eresidae
Rfam family: tRNA
About the family: Transfer RNA (tRNA) molecules are approximately 80 nucleotides in length.
Source: Rfam by way of RNAcentral